Long non-coding RNA from Anthonomus grandis grandis, 264 nucleotides. RefSeq lists it as uncharacterized. The transcript is spliced from 2 exons. The record is from RefSeq and is a predicted model, not a curated record. NCBI's taxonomy places the organism in Eukaryota, Metazoa, Arthropoda, Insecta, Coleoptera, Curculionidae.
AUAUGAUAUGGAACAAACUGACCCGCCAAUAAAUACUACAUGGAAUGGUUCUCGGAUUAAUUCAAUGUGUGAGGCUGAGGAACCAAUAGAAAAGAAAUUAUAUGACUUUUUUGCUGCUUUGUAUGACAUAUCCAAAUACAUGCUGCUGUUCCUGAACAUCUUGUCCCUAGUGCUGAAGUUUACAUAGCAAGUGAAGAGUAAGGGUUUUAUACUAAUUCUAAAAUGUAAUUUUUUGGGAAUAAAUAUAUAAUGUAUGUUUCAAAA